GAAUUCACCUUGCCUGGGCCCUGUGCAUCCCCAAAAGAAGCAAGGUGGGUGAGAUCCCCAUUUCUCAGGCUGGCCCCCCAAGGCUGAGGACUGGGCAGGGGCUGGCUGGAGUUGUCCCUUCGAGCUCCAGCCUGGCCUCAGUCCCUUCUUCCUUCAGGGCCACACCCUACGCAGCCGCCCCUGGGGAACCCCUGGGAACCCUGAAUCAGGGGCCAUGCCCUCUCCAAACCCUCUCUGCUCACUCCUCACCUUCAGUGACUUCAACGCAGGAGCCAUCAAGAAUAAGGUACUGUCUCUGCCCAGCUUCUGAGACGUGGCCUGGCCCAGACCCCCACUGAUCCAGCCCUUCCCCGAACCCAGGCCCAGUCGGUGCGAGAAGUGUUUGCCCGGCAGCUGAUGCAGGUGCGCGGAGUGAGUGGGGAGAAGGCAGCAGCCCUGGUGGAUCGAUACAGCACCCCCGCCAGCCUCCUGGCCGCUUAUGAUGCUUGUGCCACCCCCAAGGAACAAGAGACACUGCUGAGCACCAUCAAGUGUGGGCGUCUACAGAGGUGAGGGCAAGAGACAGAACCUGGAGGGAGUGGUAGGGACUGGGGCUGCCCUAGGCCCAGGGUGUGACCCUCGCUGCCUCUCUUCCUGCAGGAAUCUGGGGCCUGCUCUGAGCAGGACCUUAUCCCAGCUCUACUGCAGCUACAGCCCUUUGACCUGAGCUUAUGCCGUGAAACAGUCCCCAGCCCCCGUCUGUCCCCCAACCCAGGCUUGCCAGCCUUUUAACAACAUAUUUUGGGGUGCAAUUAGAAUCUAAGUGUUUGCAGCCAUAUUUGUCAUGCGG
This 829-nucleotide small RNA is filed under the name Pongo abelii (Sumatran orangutan). RNAcentral describes it as "retained intron". Lineage: Eukaryota; Metazoa; Chordata; Mammalia; Primates; Hominidae. The record is from RNAcentral.